This 1584-nucleotide ribosomal RNA is filed under the name Glaesserella parasuis. RNAcentral describes it as "partial 23S ribosomal RNA". It matches the Rfam family "Bacterial large subunit ribosomal RNA", at positions 1371 to 2925 of the family's 2925-position model. The record is from RNAcentral. Lineage: Bacteria; Pseudomonadati; Pseudomonadota; Gammaproteobacteria; Pasteurellales; Pasteurellaceae.
GGGGCAGGGUGAGUCGGCCCCUAAGGCGAGGCUGAAAAGCGUAGUCGAUGGGAAACGGGUUAAUAUUCCCGUACUUGGUAAAGCUGCGAUGUGGGGACGGAGAAGGUUAGGUUAGCAGACUGUUGGAUGUCUGUUUAAGUUGGUAGGUGGGGAGUUUAGGCAAAUCCGGACUUCCAUAACACUGAGAGAUGAUGACGAGUUUCUACGGAAAUGAAGUAACUGAUACCACGCUUCCAGGAAAAGCCACUAAGCGAAAGGCUUUACUAAACCGUACUGAAAACCGACACAGGUGGUCAGGUAGAGAAUACUCAGGCGCUUGAGAGAACUCGGGUGAAGGAACUAGGCAAAAUAGCACCGUAACUUCGGGAGAAGGUGCGCUGGCGUAGGUUGUAGGAGUAUACCUCCGAAGGCUGAACCAGUCGAAGAUACCAGCUGGCUGCAACUGUUUAUUAAAAACACAGCACUCUGCAAACACGAAAGUGGACGUAUAGGGUGUGAUGCCUGCCCGGUGCUGGAAGGUUAAUUGAUGGUGUAAUCGAAAGAGAAGCUCCUGAUCGAAGCCCCAGUAAACGGCGGCCGUAACUAUAACGGUCCUAAGGUAGCGAAAUUCCUUGUCGGGUAAGUUCCGACCUGCACGAAUGGCAUAAUGAUGGCCAGGCUGUCUCCACCCGAGACUCAGUGAAAUUGAAAUCGCCGUGAAGAUGCGGUGUACCCGCGGCUAGACGGAAAGACCCCGUGAACCUUUACUAUAGCUUGACACUGAACAUUGAAUUUUGAUGUGUAGGAUAGGUGGGAGCCUAAGAAGCAGUCACGCCAGUGAUUGUGGAGGCGUCCUUGAAAUACCACCCUUUAACGUUUGAUGUUCUAACGAAGAUUGCGAAACGCGGUCUCGGACAGUGUCUGGUGGGUAGUUUGACUGGGGCGGUCUCCUCCCAAAGAGUAACGGAGGAGCACGAAGGUUUGCUAAUCACGGUCGGACAUCGUGAGGUUAGUGCAAUGGUAUAAGCAAGCUUAACUGCGAGACAGACAAGUCGAGCAGGUGCGAAAGCAGGUCAUAGUGAUCCGGUGGUUCUGAAUGGAAGGGCCAUCGCUCAACGGAUAAAAGGUACUCCGGGGAUAACAGGCUGAUACCGCCCAAGAGUUCAUAUCGACGGCGGUGUUUGGCACCUCGAUGUCGGCUCAUCACAUCCUGGGGCUGAAGUAGGUCCCAAGGGUAUGGCUGUUCGCCAUUUAAAGUGGUACGCGAGCUGGGUUUAGAACGUCGUGAGACAGUUCGGUCCCUAUCUGCCGUGGGCGUUGGAGAAUUGAGAGGGGCUGCUCCUAGUACGAGAGGACCGGAGUGGACGCAUCACUGGUGUACCAGUUGUCUCGCCAGAGGCACUGCUGGGUAGCUAAAUGCGGAAGAGAUAAGUGCUGAAAGCAUCUAAGCACGAAACUCGCCUUAAGAUGAGUUCUCCCACACAAUAAGUGUGUAAGGGUUGUUGGAGACGACGACGUAGAUAGGUCUGGUGUGUAAGCGGUGUGAGCCGUUGAGCUAACAGAUACUAAUUGCCCGAGAGGCUUAACUAUACAACCUCAAGCGUU